This 335-nucleotide long non-coding RNA is filed under the name Ananas comosus (pineapple). RNAcentral's name for it is "long non-coding RNA (ACOM_LNC020314)". The record is from RNAcentral. Lineage: Eukaryota; Viridiplantae; Streptophyta; Magnoliopsida; Poales; Bromeliaceae.
GUUUGGUCGUGCUGUAAGAUGUAGCACUAUAUGAAUGAAUAGGCGCUAUCUAAAUAUAUAGCGCAAUUGGAAGAAGCACUCAGAAAUAGAAGAGUUUUAUCUCAUGAUCUGUUAAAAUCGGAACGACGAAAAAUAGAUCCAGAAAAUAAUUUAAUGCAAGAAAAGAAAAGAUAAGGAAAGAACACACCGAUAAUUACGUGGUUCGACCAACGGCCUACGUCCAUGGACGAAGACGGAGCAAAUACUUUAUUAAUGUCGAAAAGGUGGAGUACAAGAAAAUCUCUCAAAAGACCCCAAAGCUUAAUUAGAUCCGAAACGCCGCAAUUAGCAUCCGU